RNAcentral lists this ribosomal RNA (491 nucleotides) under uncultured bacterium. RNAcentral describes it as "partial 16S ribosomal RNA". It matches the Rfam family "Bacterial small subunit ribosomal RNA", at positions 29 to 507 of the family's 1533-position model. The record is from RNAcentral.
GUGAACGCUGGCGGUAGGCCUAACACAUGCAAGUCGAACGGCAGCACAGUAAGAGCUUGCUCUUACGGGUGGCGAGUGGCGGACGGGUGAGGAAUACAUCGGAAUCUACUUUUUCGUGGGGGAUAACGUAGGGAAACUUACGCUAAUACCGCAUACGACCUACGGGUGAAAGCAGGGGAUCUUCGGACCUUGCGCGAUUGAAUGAGCCGAUGUCGGAUUAGCUAGUUGGCGGGGUAAAGGCCCACCAAGGCGACGAUCCGUAGCUGGUCUGAGAGGAUGAUCAGCCACACGGGAACUGAGACACAGUCCAGACUCCUACGGGAGGCAGCAGUGGGGAAUAUUGGACGAUGGGCGCAAGCCUGAUACAGCAAUACCGCGUGGGUGAAGAAGGCCUUCGGGUUGUAAAGCCCUUUUGUUGGGAAAGAAAAGCAGCAGGUUAAUACCCCGCUGUUCUGACGGUACCCAAAGAAUAAGCACCGGCUAACUUCGUG